AAGGAUCAUUACUGAGUUACCGCUCUAUAACCCUUUGUGAACAUACCUAACUGUUGCUUCGGCGGGCAGGGGGUCCCCUCGGGGACGCCCUCCCGGCCACGCCCUUCACGGGGCGAGGCGCCCGCCGGAGGAUACCAAACUCUAUUUUAACGACGUUUCUUCUGAGUGGCACAAGCAAAUAAUUAAAACUUUUAACAACGGAUCUCUUGGUUCUG
RNAcentral lists this unclassified non-coding RNA (215 nucleotides) under uncultured fungus. Its description in RNAcentral is "partial contains 18S rRNA, ITS1, 5.8S rRNA, ITS2 and 28S rRNA". Lineage: Eukaryota; Fungi. The record is from RNAcentral.